RNAcentral lists this ribosomal RNA (491 nucleotides) under Afroedura nivaria. Its description in RNAcentral is "partial 16S ribosomal RNA". It matches the Rfam family "Bacterial large subunit ribosomal RNA", at positions 1944 to 2604 of the family's 2925-position model. Lineage: Eukaryota; Metazoa; Chordata; Lepidosauria; Squamata; Gekkonidae. The record is from RNAcentral.
AACCGUGCAAAGGUAGCGUAAUCACUUGUCCCCUAAAUAGGGACCCGUAUGAAAGGUUGAUUGAGGACACAACUGUCUCUUGCGACCAAUCAAUGAAACUGAUCUCCCAGUACAAAAGCUGGAAUAAACGCAUAAGACGAGAAGACCCUGCGGAGCUUUAAGCUAUAGCACUGACACGACCACNCAAGCCCCAAACCCUGGACAUCACAUCAUGAAACAGUGCCAACUUUUAGUUGGGGCGACUGCGGAGAAAGACCAACCUCCAUGAAACCAGGCUAACCACCACCACAAGACCAACAAGUCACGCGGUUUAACCACUUGACCCAGCACAGCUGACUACCGAACCAAGUUACCCCAGGGAUAACAGCGCCAUCCCCUUCAAGAGUCCUUAUCGCCAAGGGGGCUUACGACCUCGAUGUUGGAUCAGGGCCCCCAGAUGGUGUAGCCGCUAUCGAAGGUUCGUUUGUUCAACGAUUAAUGCCCUACGUGAU